Molecule: long non-coding RNA, 2800 nt
Filed under: Salmo salar (Atlantic salmon)
Lineage: Eukaryota; Metazoa; Chordata; Actinopteri; Salmoniformes; Salmonidae
Description: lncRNA (ENSSSAG00000106441.1)
Source: RNAcentral
GCUUGAAAAAGCGACAAUAUUACUGUUUGUCCCUCUUGAGAUGCCGUAAACCAGUACACUUCCUCAAAAUAGUCUGAAUGAAUCUACUAAGUCAAGAAAUAUGUAAUUAAUUUGGACAUUUUUGCAGAGGUGGACUUAGUCGCACAUUUUUACAUCCAACUAAGAUGUAAGAUACCGGUACAUGAAAACUAGUCGUCUGUUGUUGAAUGACAACAAACCCUUAACUAAGAAUCCCUACUAUUGACUAAUCAUCCACGACUGGGCGUAGACUACCGAACUUCAACUAGCCUCAAGGGAAAAAUGUGUGUGCUUGAACAGCCCCCCCAAAAAAUGACGAACAGGAUAUCUAGGUUGACUCAUUUUAUCUGGCUUUGGAAAGACUACAGCCUGAUGGGAGCCCUACUUCCUUGUCCAAUUCUGUUCCCACCCUCGAAGACAGGCUUUUCAAAACAGGGGCGGUACUAGUUUGUACAGGUUCAAAAGAGCUAUGUUAACGUGCACUGUCUUUCUGAGAUGGCUAGCUCAAUAAUUACAACAGCUGCUUCUAGUGAUUCCUCUUUCCAAGAAGAGCUGGACAUACUAACAUAGGGACAUUCUGCCCUAUUCCUUUGAGUUCUUCCUGGACAGGGUCACUGCAGAUCCCAUGGAACGUGUGUGUGACAGACCAUCGAAGUUUCAAUGCACAAAUGGAUAGAGGUGUGCUGGAGACGUUCUUCAGAACCUCCAAGAUCAACUGGCGGCGGCAGGCUAGACCAGCUGGACCAGGAGGGCAAAUGUCAAACAGGUGACUACCUCAUGAAGCUGGUUGAGAGAAUGCCAAGAGUGUGCAAAGCUGUCAUCAGGUUGGGAACUGCCCCAUCGUCAUCAAUGGAGCCUCAGUGGAGACAAUCAAUAACGUAAAGUUCCUCGGCGUACACGUCUCCGAUAAGCUGAAAUGGUCAAACCACACGGAUACAUUGGUGAGGAAGGCACGGCAAUGACUCUUCAACCUCAGGAGGCUGAAGAAAUUUGUCCCCGAGGGCCCUUAGUGUUCCACAGGAGCACCAUCAAGAGCUUACUGUCAGGCUGCAUCACAACCUGGAAUGGCAACUCCACCACCGCUGACCCUGCUGCCCCCCCUCUAUGGACAUUCUACCCUGCUACUGCCUCUAUUGACACUUACCAUGCUCCCACCCCACCAACCAAUGGAGAUUUAUCAUUGCUACAGUUGUAAAUGUGUCUAUAUUAUUAUUAUUUGUUAUUAUUGUCACACUCACUUCUCUUUUGACCUGCACUGUUGGAGCUCUGAGCAUAAGAAUUUCACUGUAUCCUACAAUUACAUUGGUUUAGAUUUUGGUUGAGAUAAACAAAUGAAGUUCGCUAGCAAGCUAGCUCUGCUCCACUUCUUAGUAAGGUAACCAAUGAAAUAUUACCCCAGCAGCCAGUGCUUGCUUGUAGACUAAGCGUAAACAUCGCUGACAAUCUGAAAUGGUCCACCCACACAGACAGUGUGGUGAAGAAGGCGCAAACUCAGGAGGCUCAAGAAAUUCGGCUUGGCCCCUAAGACCCUCACAAACUUUUACAGAUGCACAAUUGAGAGCAUCCUGUCAGGCUCUAUCACCGCCUGGUACGGCAACUGCACCGCCUGCAACAGCAGGGCUGGCCAAAGGGUGAUGCUGUCUGCCCAACGCAUUAAUGGGGGCACACUGCCUGCCCUCCAGGACACCUACAGCACUCGAUGUCACAGGAAGGCCAAAAACGUAAUCAAGAACAUCAACCAUCCGAGCCACGGCCUGUUCACAACACUACCAUCCAGAAGGCGAGGUCAGUACAGGUGCAUCUAAGCUGGGACCAAGAGACUGAAAAACAGCUUCUAUCUCAAGGCCAUCAGGCUGUUAAAUAGCCAUCUUUGCAGCUCAAAUAAAUGCUUCACAGAGAUCAAUUAACAGACACAUCUCAACAUCAAUGGUUCAGAGGAGUCUGCGGGAAUCAGGCCUUCAUGGUCGAAUUACUGCAAAGAAACACUGCUAAAGGACCAAUAAGAAGAAGAGACUUGCUUGGGCCAAGAAACACAAGCAAUGGACAUUAGACCGAUGGAAAUCUGUCCUCUGGUCUGAAUAGUCCAAAUUUGCGAUUUUUGGUUCCAACCACCGUGUUUUUGUGAGACGCAGAGUAGGUGAAUGGAUGAUCUCCGCAUGUGUGGUUCUCACUGUGAAUCAUGGAGGAGGAGGUGUGAUGGUGUAGGGGUGCUUUGGUGGUGACACUGUCAGUGAUUUAUUUAGAAUUCAAGGCACACUUAACCAGCAUGGCUACCACAGCAUUCUGCAGCGAUACGCCAUCCAAUCUGGUUUGGGUUUAGUGGGACUAUCAUUUGUUUUUCAACAGGACAAUGACCCAACACACUUCCAGGCUGUGUAAGGGCUAUUUGACCAAGAAGGAAAGUGAUGGAGUGCUGCGUGACCAAGAAGGAGAGUGAUGGAGUGCUGCAUCAGAUGACCUGGCCUCCACAAUCACCUGACCUCACCCCAAUUGAGUUGGACCACAGAGUGAAGGAAAAGCAGCCAACAAGGGCUCAGCAUAUUCGGGAACUCCUUCAAGACUGUUGGAAAUGCAUUCCAGGUGAAGCUGGUUGAAAGAAUGCCAAGUGUGCAAAGCUGUCAUCAAGGCAAAGGGUGGCUACUUUGAAGAAUCUAAAAUAUAUUUUGAUUUGACACUUUUUUGGUUACUACAUGAUUCCAUGUGUUAUAUCAUAGUUUUGAUAUCUUCACUAUUAUUUUACAAUGUAGACAAUAGUAAAAAUAAAGACAAAACUACUUUUGAC